RNAcentral lists this unclassified non-coding RNA (172 nucleotides) under uncultured Tylopilus. RNAcentral describes it as "sequence contains ITS2". The record is from RNAcentral. Lineage: Eukaryota; Fungi; Basidiomycota; Agaricomycetes; Boletales; Boletaceae.
GAGUUCUCAACCAAGCCCUUGGGUUUGGCUUGGAUCUGGAGGCUGCUGGCGGAGGUCGGCUCUUCUGAAAUGCAUUAGCGAUCGGACCUACUACGGCCUUCCGGCGUGAUAACGAUCGUCGACGGGCUGGGACUGGCUUUGGUCGCUUCCAACGAUAUAUAUUAUAAUAUAU